AUUGAACGCUGGCGGCAGGCUUAACACAUGCAAGUCGAGCGGGGGAAGGUAGCUUGCUACUGGACCUAGCGGCGGACGGGUGAGUAAUGCUUAGGAAUCUGCCUAUUAGUGGGGGACAACAUCUCGAAAGGGAUGUUAAUACCGCAUACGUCCUACGGGAGAAAGCAGGGGAUCUUCGGACCUUGCGCUAAUAGAGGAGCCUAAGUCGGAUUAGCUAGUUGGUGGGGUAAAGGCCUACCAAGGCGACGAUCUGUAGCGGGUCUGAGAGGAUGAUCCGCCACACUGGGACUGAGACACGGCCCAGACUCCUACGGGAGGCAGCAGUGGGGAAUAUUGGACAAUGGGGGGAACCCUGAUCCAGCCAUGCCGCGUGUGUGAAGAAGGCCUUAUGGUUGUAAAGCACUUUAAGCGAGGAGGAGGCUACUUUAGUUAAUACCUAGAGAUAGUGGACGUUACUCGCAGAAUAAGCACCGGCUAACUCUGUGCCAGCCGCCGCAGUAA
Molecule: ribosomal RNA, 501 nt
Filed under: uncultured bacterium
Lineage: Bacteria
Description: partial 16S ribosomal RNA
Rfam family: Bacterial small subunit ribosomal RNA
Source: RNAcentral